GGGGCCCACACAUUUUCUUUCUCACCCACUAUUUCAUUUUACCUUACAUUAUAUAACACAUACACACACAUAGACAGAGGGGGCGAACAGAAACAGAAUAAAGAGAGAGAGAGAGGGUGAUGAGAAACAAAUUAGAGAGGAGAACGAGAGAAGUCUGGGAGGAACGAAAAAAUAGAGGAAAACGAGGGCCCAUAAAUAUCACUUUCUUCUACAAAGUUAAUCCAUUCUUUAAACCACCAUUAAUCUCAUCUUCCUUCACCCUUGUUUCCUCCCACCAAAUAUCACCAUAGCGAUUGUCCCUAACACCAAAUAUCACCUACAACUAAUUCAAACACCCUUACUUAACGUCAAACUAAAGUGGUCGGGUUAGUUAUAUUUUGUUUGAAGUUGUAGAAUGAGGUUUUCAGCUCGCCGUUUUGUCUAUUUUUUGUUGAUUUUUCACUUCUCUGGUCAAGUUUUCGUCGCCGGAUUUUUUUUCCCUUCAUCAAUUGUAAAGCUGUUUUGGGAAGUUCUAUUAAUGGAAAAGGCUACUUAAAGUGUAUAUUCAACUCAAUUUCCAGGAGAAACUUAUCACUAAAGGUCUAACUCUUUUCUCUUUUUUUCUUGCAUUUUAUUUUCUAGCUUUGUUGCUGUUUGAUUUACUUUACGAAAUGGUCUUGUGGCUUAUAUUAUAAUUUGUAUGUUAAUGUGUUCUUAACAAAAUAGUUGUUAUACUUUGAAUCACUAUUUCCUUAAUUAAGAACAUAAGAGAUAAUUUGAUUUUGAGUUAUUGGGUUUAGUUAUAAAAGUUAAAAUUAAAAUGGACACUACCAUGAAACAAGCAAGAGAUUUGGGGUUAAGAAUAUUUUAGAGUGGUUGGAUUUAAACCAAUAAAAUAAAAUUGGGCUUUGCUUGAGUUAUUCGCAUUUUAGACUGACAAAAGAAAAAAAAUUGAAAACAAAUUUAGAUUAAAAGGGAUUUGGGUUUAAUAUGAAUCUUAUUUAUUGCAAUUGAGUAUGUUAGAAUGCUUUGGGCGCAUUUUGAAUCUAUCAUCGUGAUUGUGUACACGUUCGCGUGAUAUAAUUAUGAUUCUAAAAGUAAAUCAAGGUCUGCGUUCGUGCAACUUCAGUCAAACUUUCUUAAUAAUAAUAAAGUAUUAUUAAUUAUGGACACGUUUGCGUGACAUAAUUUUUGACGCGCCAAACAAAUGGGUACACGUACGCGUGACCUAUUUUAAGAUAAUUUCUUGACUAAAAGAGGUAAAUGCACAUAGGUUCUAAAAUAAUUAAUUAGGCAAUUUAAUUAAGCCAAGUAUGAUUAAAGCGACCGUACUAAAAUCACGUAACCCGGGAAUGCUAACACCUUCUCCAGGGUUAAUAGAAUUCCUCACCCAGAUUUCUAUGUUCGCAGACUGUAAAACAGAGUCAAACUUCCUCGAUUCAGGAUUUUAAACUGGUGACUUGGGACACCAUAAAUUAUCCCAAGUUGUGAUUUUGAAUUUGAAUAAAUAAUCUCGUUUCGAUUAUCGUCACUUUAAAUGGAAAAACUUCCUUAUAUCCUCUCUCGGGUGGUAAAAAGGAGGUCUGAUAGCUCAGGCGACUCUGCUGGGGAUAAGAACCCAGAAUCUCCGGUUCAGGGUUCAGAAUUCGAGCUUGUUAAUAUGAUCUAUGCUUGGCUUUAUUAUUUGUUGAUAUUACUGUAUUUGUGGACCUAAUAUGCUAGUUGACGCUUAUUUACCGCUUUAAUAUUAUUUGAACUGUAUUAAAUUGUCUUCUUACGCCUCCCUUUUGAGUCCUCUAAGAAUGAUGCACAUAUUCGAGUGGCCCACUUUUCUGUUAGAAGUUAUACCAAAUAGAACAAGGUUGGGCCAGCAACAAGGUUGGGUAGACUUUUGUGCUCCCGGGACGUUGCCCCCACCUCGGCUCGAGCUGUUUGCUUGGGUAAACCAUGUCUAGAACACACCCCCUGGGUUUCAAACCUAGAAUAAUAUAGCCUCAUCCGGAUCCCUAGUAGGAACAUUUGUUUGCAUCACGUGCAUUUGACUUAGGGGACUCAAACAGGGGUUGAGUUCGUCUAGGACAAGUGUACCCAGAAUGAAAGACCAUCCUGAUGCAUCUUACGUGCUAUUUAUAUAUUUAUUUGCUUCGGCUUGUAUGUUGACUGGCUAAGGAAAGAAAAAACAAUGGAAAAAUUAAAAGUGAGGUAGGAUAGAGAAUUCACCCAGUUAUGAAAAUCCUGGUAUUUGAAAACGCCUCGAAACUCUGCCAAAAUUUUUGAAAAAAAGAAGAAGAAGGGAAAAUAUAUUUCAAAAAAUGAAAGUGGGUCAAUAUCAUGUUUUUCCAAUUAUGUCAAAACUGACCGAACUACGCGGGUCUGAUUCUUACCGGAUGUGAGAUACGUAUGCAAACCUCAUUGGUUCCGGGCCACCAUUUUAAAAAAAAUCCAAAACUAUUUUCCUUUACUUCCUUCUUUAGAAAGUCUUUCUUUUAGAUCUCAUUUUUUAAAAAAUACAAAAAAAAUCUCUCUCAAAAUCCAAAAAUAUUUGUUUGAAAAUUCAAAAAAGUAUUUUGUCUUUUCUUUUGUAGUAUUUCUUUCAUAAAUUCAAAGUAAAAGUCCAAAAAUAUUUCCUUUAUUCUUUGGAAGUUUUUCUUUCGAAAUUUUCAGAACAAAGAAAAAGAGAAAAAAGAAAAAGAAGUUAAAAUUCAAGAAAAUAUUUUUUUCUCUUCUUUAGACGUCUUUAUUUUCAAAAAAUUCUUUUAAAAAAACAAACAAAUCGAAAUCCAAGAAUAUUUUAUUUCUUCUUUGUAAGUAUGUCUUUCGAAAAAAAUAAAUUUCAAAAUCCAAAACAAAAUAAAAAAAUAAUUUAUUUACUUUAUUUUCGGUCUUCCCGAACUACACAAGAUCUAAUUCAUGUUCCCACAUAAUAUGUAGGCACCCCACAUCAGGUUUGAUUGAAUCAUUUUUUAAAAAAAAAAGAAAAAAGAGAGAAAAUAGGAAGGAAAGUGCUUAAAAAAAACAAAAGAGUGACCAUUCUAACAUGUUUUUUGUUUUGAAUUGUGAAGAAGUUUGAGGUGGUUGGUUUGUGGUAAGCGGACAUCACAAGAUCCAAGGAAAAAUGAUAACUGACAUCGAAGCUGUUACAACUGCUCAAGAGACUCAGGGUCAGAGGGUUCAACAAGAGUCUACUGUGUUUGAGGAAAAUAGAACGCUAAAACAACAAAUGACCAAAAUGUGUCAAGCAUGGGCCAAUGGCCAAGGAUAGCCUUGUCAUGAGUCACAAUUUGCUACCCAGCAAGAGCAGUACCACUCUCCUGAGUACCACUCGUACUUGUUUGAUCUUCCUGCAAACAUUGAGAAGUCUGCCCGAAAGAUGGCACAAGAAGAAAUGACCCAACGAGUGAAAAGCUUAGAACAACGAUUGAAAAACAUGCAAUGGUUGGCAGGUCAGAAGAGUAUUGCCUUCAAGGAUCUAUUUAUGUUCUCCAAUGUCCACUUGCGACUUGGUUUCAAGAUCCCCAAAUUUGAAAAGUAUGAUGGACAUGGAGACCCCAUAACCCACUUGAAAAGGUAUUGCAAUCAACUAAGAGGUGCGGGAAGAAACGAAGCAUUAUUAACAACUUAUUUUGGGGAAAGCCUUACGGGUGUAGCCUCCGAGUGGUUUAUGGAUCAAGACACAUCUCGCUAGUACGUCUAGGAUGACAUGACAUAGGCCUUUGUCAAAUAGUUCCAAUACAACAUAAACAUCGCCCAGACCGCAAUUUCCUUUCGAACCUGAAGAAAAAACCAACUGAAUGUUUCAGGGAAUAUGCCAUUAAAUGGAGAGAGCAGGCAGCUAGAGUUAAACCACCCAUUGAUGACCAUGAACUAAUCACUGUCUUUCUUCAGGCUCAAGAGCUAGAUUAUUUUUAAAACAUGAUGUCCACAGUGAGUAAAUCCUUCUUGGAAGCAAUCAAAAUGGAGGAAAUGGUUGAGAAUGGUCUUAAAAUAGGAAAAAUUAUAAGUCAAGUAAUUCUCAAAGCCGCAACUCAGGCUGUCCAGAUUAAAUCUGAGAAUUUUAGGGACACAAAUAAGAAGGACGAAGAAAUUACGAUGACAUCAGGGUCGAGAAGAGGUUCUAGGAGAGCAUCUCGAAGGUAUGACCAGCCCCGUCUGUUUUCUGAUGAUGCUCCAGAGCACUAUUAUCCACCUCAAUACUCACAAUACUCUGUUGCUCUACUUCAGUAUGUUGUCCAGCCACCAAAUCACCUAAGAAGGCGAGCACGAGCACCGCAAAAUCUCCACCAGCCUCCACAAAAUUUUCAAGCACCCUAUAACCCACGUCCAAGCCAGGGAUAUAGAAGGGAACAAAGGUUGAAAGAUAAUUUUACACCAAUAGGAGAGUCCUAUGCAAGCUUAUUUGAGAAGUUAAAGCAUUAUGACAUGAUUGCACCCAUUCCUCCAAAUCAUGUGGACCCACGUGCAAGAAGCUUUGACCCUUCUAAAAGGUGUGAAUACCAUUCCAAUUCCUAAGGGCACAAUGUUGAAAGCUAUCGGUAUUUGAAAAGAGAAAUAGAAAGGAUGAUCCAGGAAAAACUGAUUGUGAUCCAAGACAGUGACACCCAGAAUAUCACGCAUAAUCCUUUACUUGCACACGAUGAUGCACACUUUGUGGGGAUGAUGCGUGGUGACAUGGAGAAUGAUAAUCCUCUCGGGAACUUGCCUACUAAAAUUGGAGAAGGUCAUGGUGAUUCGGAUGAGCAAAUUUGUGGCUAAAUGUCAAUCUUAGCAAUUGAAAAGUCAUUUCCUCCUCACUAGGAAGGAAUCUUGGUAGCUUGUUUUGAUAUUUUUUAUAUUAUCUGGGUUAUUUCAGGGUUGUGAUCCAGAUUUUAUUUGUUUUAUUGAGUCAAACCCUUCUAUCCCUCCAUUCUGUCUGUGUGAGUCUUGUCCGUUUGUUCUGUCGUUGUUUUCAUUAGCUGGGUUAUUUUAGGUUUGUAACUCGCAUCUUAGGUUGUUUGUCUUGUUUUUAAACCUUUUCAUCCUUUACUCAAUAAAAUACAGUUUGUCCUUUUGUGUUAUUCUGUUCUUAGUUCUUUUUUCACUAGUUCUAAUGACAUGACAUGCAUGCAGAAAUUUUGGCCAAAUCUUAGAAACUGAUUUAAUCUGGAAUUGGAUAGCUGAAAAAAAACUUUUGAGGAUGAAUAAAGAGUUGAAAUACUUUGGAAUUAAGGUCGAGUUCAAAUCAUUGUGAAGAUCGGGCUUGAGGAUGUUUAAUCAAUUGAAGUUAGUUGGAAAGUUUGACAUUAAGGGAUGGAAAUUGUUUUGUGACCAUGACAAACCAAGAAGAUAGGCAUGUUCAUCAAUGCUGUGAUCGGAAAAGGAUACUAUGUUUGACGUUCUUGAGGCUGGGAAGCCCUUUUUUUUGCAACCCAAACACUUUAUACCCUUUGUUACCCCUUUUGAGCCUGGGUUAUUUUCUUCGACCUUCCUAUUUUGGAAUCAAAUUUAGAGUCAAAAGUCAAAAAUAAAUAAUAAAAAAAUAAAAUAAUAACAAUAAAGGUCCAUGGCCCAAGAGUACAAACUGGGGCAGCUCUUUGAAAGUUCAAGUGAAAAACGAAAGAAGAAAAGAACUGUCGAAGGUCCAUGCCCUCAGAAGAUAGAAGCUAGGGCAGACAAAAAGAAAAAAAAGGAAAAAAAUAUCAAAAAAGAAAAAAAGAAAGAAAUAUGAAAAAUAGUUUAGGUCAGAUGUUUGAACUAUGUUUGACCUGAUUCCUUAAAACAAAAGGAUACGUAGGCAGCCUCACGGUUCGGUCUAACCAAAUAAGAAUUCAAAAAAUAUAUAUCCAAAAAUCCCAGUAUCUGAAACUGGGGCAGAGAUUUUAUUUCACUUUUGAAAGAGUCGAUUCCAAGAGUUGUAAGUCCAUAAACCCUCAUUUUGAGUCUACUUUGAGCCUUCAUACCGACCCUUCUUUCCAACCCUAUCCAAAACCUUCCGAAGAAAGACCUCCAGAUAUGCCUUCAAGAACGGCAAGAGAAGCAUGCAAUUAACAAUGGUUGUUACACGACAUAGAACACUGUCAAGUUGCUUAAAAAAGGGGGGAGGAAGAAAAAGAAAAUGAGAGAGUCUUACUAGUGAAAACCCUCAAGGGAACUGUAAGGCGAUGGUAAGAAGAGAUGAACAAAUGAGAGAGACGUAUCAGUGAAAACCCCUCGGGGCACCACUAGUCGAAAGUGAGUCGUGAAGAUGAUGCAAAGGAUUGGCACGAACAAGCCUGACUUCAAAGGUCAUAAGAAUGGCAAAAGGGAAGACUGGAUUAGUUUGAUAGAUCAGACCGUUGAGUCCAAAAUGCAUGUCAUGACCAUUAAGGCUAGUUAUUGAAAAAAAAAGAGAAAAAAGGGAAAGAGAAGAAAAAAAACUCUUCCUUCUGUCCUUCCGAUAGGGGCAUUUCUUGUUCAUACUUGUUUCUUUGCAUCAUUGUGUCCUUCACUCCGAGUUAGUCCUUGUCAAAAUAAGUAAGAGAAGAUUUCAAAAUCUACUACCAGCUUUUCAAUUGCACAAAGUAAAUUUGGCCAGCACACUCUAAUGUUACAGUCAAUAUGACUUGAGGAUUCAUGCAAAGGCUCUCCCAAAAGACUCUUGUCAGCCUGCUUGGCGCAAACAAAGAUAACUUGUGAUUCUCUCUGACAGACAAAUUGCUCAAAAGUAGGAAGUCAUUCAAGAUAUCAGAAAAGAUCACCUAAGCAAAGAUCACCAGUUGGGAUAAGGCUGUUUGAGCCGCAAAUACAAAUAGUACUGGGUGUAAAACAAUCAGAGUGGGUGUAGAACAAAAGUCUCUUGAGACCGACUCAAGCUGAUCGAGCAAAAGCCAAGCUGCUCGAGAAUCAAGGCCACAAACCGACUACCACAUUCAAAACUAACAAAAUUUUCUUUGUUUGAACUGGAACAAAGCGGUGCAAGGAAAGUGGUUUCAAAAAAAAAAGAAGAGAAAACAAAAAAGAAAAAGAAAGAAAAAGAAGAGAAGGGAAGAGCUGACAAAAGGAAGUUCCUCACAUAUUUUCCUUUAUUUUGUCUUGGUAACGUGCAUAAAUGUUGCCAUUGCUCUUCACAUUUUUCCUCAUAGGAUAAAAGUCUUAGUCUGAUGGAUUUUCUCCCAAUUAAACGUCUUAGUCGGAUGAAUCUUUCUCCUAAGAUACCAAAAAGGACAAAGUCUGAUGAAUUUUCUCCUAGGAUAAACGUCUUAGUCUGAUGAAUGUUUCUCCUAAGAUAGGAAACCUAGUCUGAUAUUUUUUCUCCUAGGACAAAAAUCUUAGUUUGAUGAAUCUUUCUCCUAAGAUAACGAAAAGGGACUUAGUUUGAUGAAUUUUCUCUUAGGAUCAAAAUCUUAGUCUGAUGAAUCUUUCUCCUAAGAUAGGAAACCUAGUAUGAUAAAUUUUUUCAUAGGAUAAAAAUCUUAGUCUGAUGAAUCUUUCUCCUAAGAUAACAAAAAAAAAGGGACCCGGUCUGAUGAACUUUCUCCUAGGAUCAAAAUCUUAGUCUGAUGAAUCUUUCUCCUAAGAUAGGAAACCUAGUCUGAUGAACUUUCUCCUAGGAUCGAAAAUUUUAGUCUGAUGAGAGCCCUAGUCUGAUGAACUUUCUCCUAGGAUAGAAAUCUUAGUCUGAUGAAUCUUUCUCCUAAGAUACCAAAAAAUACAAAAAAAAACCGAGUCUGAUGAAUUUUCUCCUAGGAUCAAAAUCUUAGUCUGAUGAAUCUUUCUCCUAAAAUAGAAGACCUAGGGUGAUGAACUUUCUCCUAAGAUAGAAAUCUUAGUCUGAUGAGUCUUUCUCCUAAGAUAAUAAAAAUGGAUCUAGUCUGAUGAAUUUUCUCCUAGGAUGUCACGACCAAAAAUUCACUAAGGGUCGUGAUGGCAUCGGAUACCACUGUCAGGCAAGCCAACCACAAUUUACUAGCAAUUUCUCAUUUUAAUUAUCUUGAAAUCAUUUCCUCUAAAAAAUAAAUAAUAAACUCCACUAGAUAAAUGAGGAUGUCUUUACAAAAUUUAACUACUGAAAAAUCCCGUGAUCCUCCCAGAACCCGGUGUCACAAGUGCAUGAGCAUUUACUAGGGAAUGAAAUAAAAUACAGUAACUAUCCAGAAUACAAGUGGACAGAAAUGGAAAUACAAUACUCUGAAGGAGACUCUGCUGGCUACGGACGUCUCGAUAAAUGCAACUCACCUAAGUCUCCGUAUCAUCCAUGCCGCUAUGCCACUUAUUAACCUGUGCAACAAAAAUGCCCAGCAAGUGUAGUAUGAGUACGAAAAUAACGUGUACCCAAUGAGUAUCCCAUCUAAUCUUGAAGAAGUAGAGACGAGAGGUCGACUUCGACACUUACUAGUGGUCCAAUAAUGUUAUAUCAAUAAUAUAGUAAAUCAGUGAUUUUUUAUAAACAUGAUUAUAAUUCAAUGGAAUGAAACAAGUAAGAAAUUUUUUCUUAUAGAAAAUUUCCAAAUUCCUUUUUCAUCGUUUAGACAAAUAUUCUCAAACCGGGAAGAGGCAAUAACAAUUUCAAUAAGUUUCAAGGCAAGCAAUACAAGCAUGUACAAAUCAUGUCGAGGUCGUACGACCCGAUCCAACAAUAUUUAAACUGUGCACUACCAGAGGGUCGAAUGGUGCAAACCAUAGAUGCAUCUAUUUAAUCUACCGAGGCGUUCGGCUCGUUCCAGAAUUUAAACACGCACAUACAAUCAAUCAAGAAGUCAUCAGGAAACAAUUAUCCAAAUAAAACCAAUUCUCUUUUAACAAUUUUAAAAAAUGAAGUUUAAUUCUUUUUAUAAAUCCAUUCACCAAUUCGAUAGGAUUUAAGCAAUCAACUAUCAAUAAGGUUACAGAUAUUCCAAGUAUAACAUGCUUUUGGGUCCUAGACUACCCGGACUUACACAUAUUAGUAGCUACGCACGUGCUCUCGUCACCUCGUGCAUACGUAGCCUCCACAAAUAGGAGCACAUAACCAAUUAUUUCACCUAUGGGAACAAUUCCCUCUUACGAGGUUAGAAAGGAAACUCACCUCGCUCCGAAAAUCCAUAAUUAGCAUUUCACGUUCUUCCGAAGACUCGAAUCGAUAAGCCAAGCUCCAAAUCUAGCCAAUAAUAAUACCAAUCCAUUAAUAUAUAUGCAAUUACCCCUAAUGAUCCAAUUUAUAACAAUUCCUAACCACGAUCGAAAAGUUGACAAUUAUGCCCUCGGGCCCACGUGCCCGGGAUCCAAAAAUUUUCGAAGGAUAAGUUUACCCAUAACCUCACGAUCUCAAAUAUAUAAUUUACUCUAAAUUUUAUACCCAAAAUCGUGGUCAAAUUCCAAGAAUAUCAAUUUUUUAGGUUUUCCCUCAAACCCCAAAUUUCUACCAAUUUCAUGCUCAAAUCCAUAUAUAAUCAUGUAUUUAACAAAAAACUAGCACAAAUUACUUACCUCAUGCUUGGUGGUGAAAAUGGCACCUCAAAGUUGCUCCAAAAUCGGCUCCAAUGGAAGAAAUGGAGUUGAAAUGAACCCAACCCCUGAUUUAAAAGAACCUCACUGCCUCCAGCAUUUCCGCACCUGCGGUCACUUGGCCGCUUCUACGGUUCCGCAGGUGCGGUUCCAAUACCGCUUCUGCGGCCCUCCUCCAGCUGCCCCAGUUCGCUUCUGCGCUGCACGAACCACAUCUGCGAUCACGCAGGUGCGUGAAUUCCUUCGCACCUGUGGUCCCUGAUCCCUUCACUUCUACGCUUCUGUGGUGCUCUUCUUCGCUUCUGCGGGGCCGCUUCUGCGGUGAACCCUCCGCAGAAGUGGUUACACCAGCAACCAGACCCCUUCAGCCCAUCCUUCAAGCUCCAAUUCAAUCCGUUAAUCACCCAGAAUCCACCUGAGGUCCCCGGGACCCCAACCAAUUAUGCAAACGAGUUCCAAAACACAUUACAGACUUGCUCGAGGCGUCAAAUAACAUCAAACAAUGCUACAAUCAUGAAUCGACCUCCAUUCCAAGCUUUCUAAACUUUAGAAUUUCAAACUUCUACUUUCGAUGUUUAAUCCUAUCAAAUCACGUCCGAUUGACUUCAAAUUUUGUACACAAGUCAUAUUUGACAUUACGGACCUACUCCAACUUUCGGAAUCGGAUUCCGACUCCGAUAUCAAAAAGUCAACUCUUAGUCAAACUUCCUAAAAACCUUUAAAUUUCUAUCUUUAGCCAAUUGACUCCAAAAUGACCUACGGACCUCCGAAUUCACUUCCGAUCCUGCUCCCAAUGCAAGAAUCACCAUAUGGAUCAAUUCCCAGACUUGGAAUCCCAAACGGAUAUCGAUAACGCUGAAAUGCACUUCAACCCAAACUUAUGAAAUUUCUUCCAAAAUGCUAACUUCCACAAUUGGCGCCAAAAUGCUCCCGAGUCAUCCAAAACUCGAUCUGGGCAUAAGCCCAAGUCCGAUAUCAUCAUAUGAACCUACUGGAACCUUCAGAUCCUGAUUCUGAGGUCGUUUACUCUAAAAUCCAAUCUUAGUCAAUUAUUUCAACUUAAUGCUUCCGAAAUGAGAAUUUCCUUUCCAAAUCAACUUAGAAUUUCCCAGAAUUCAAUUCUGACCAUGCGUACAAGUCAUAAUACCUAAAGUGAAGCUGCUCAUGGCUCCAAACUGCUGAACGACGCGUUAGAGCUCAAAACGACCGGUCGGGUCGUUACAUAGGAUAAACGUCUUAGUCUAAUGAAUCUUUCUCCUAAGAUAGAAAACCUAGUCUGAUAAAUUUUCUCCUAGGAUUAUAAGUUUGGAUUUGAAAAGAAAAGGGGUUAAUUUUUAGUUUUCUUAAGUUAUCAAUCUUUAGUUUUCUUGGAAUUAGGGGCCCCGCCUGGAGAACAAGUUCAGUUUUUACUUUAGUCAAGCUUAGUUUAUAGUUUUCCGCAAGCUCAAUCUCAAAUCUAGGAGACACACUUCCUAGGUUGGGUUAUUUUGGUUUCAUCCCUAGGAGACGCACAUCCUAGUCGAAUCUUUAAUUUUACUCUCAUCAGUGUAUCUUUCAUCAACAACGUAGGUGAUUUAUAGUUCUGCUAACAACUCACAAAUCUUCCUAGUGCAAACUGGGGCAGAAUAUAUCUUUUAUUUUGUCUAUUUUGCUGUAGUAGCAGGCACCCACCUGGAGAAUGAGGAAAUUUAUUUCAAGUUUCCACUUAGCAGCAGGUGCCCGCCUGGAGAACGAGGGAAGUCAUUUUAGAAUUCAAUUCAAGUUAGAAGUAGUAGAAGCUCGCCUAAAGAAUGCGAGUCGAUAGUCCGAGAUGACCAAAAGAAGAAGUCUCAAUCCAAAUAAAAGAAAAAGAAAAAAAAAGAAAAAAAAGAAAGGGAAAGAAGUAAAUCCAAAUGCAGAAGUAGAUGAAAGAUGUGAACUGUUCAAGACAUGGUUGAAGUCACGAGCACUGCAUGUCCGGUCUUGACCUGAAGUCGUGGAUGUGUGAAUCAGCACCUGCAGUUAGCAAGCAUCAAGAUUCAAAUCAAAAGUCUGCAUGAAGAACCAUUCAAGACCCAAGAUCAAGCUUCAGUAGACUUAUAGAUAUGAAUCUUGUUACUCAUAGCUGAUAGGCUUACUUAGUUCUUUUAGAUUUUGAUUUGAUGUAAUGACAUGACCGCGGACCGGAACCUCGACGGACCGGUAUCUCACUCGAAUCUCUCAUUCUCUCCACACAUUCCAUCACUUCAUUCACUUCUGACCUAUACGUGGCCUGAUUCCUUUAUAGCCAAGGAUAUGUAGGAAGCUCAGAUACCAGGGCUCGGUCACAUUCUCCUUUAUUUUAGUUUUUGGUCUCUUUAAAUAAGGGUCGGGUCAAAAAACCUGUCUCGUCGUUCUUUGUCUGAAAACUCUUCGUAUUUCCAGUGAAAGAGGGGCAGCUGAGACAUGUAAAUUUUGACUCUACUUGAAAUUUUACUCAUUUUAGUGCUUAGAUUUUGGUUUUAGGUCUAAUAUUGUUACUUUGAAUAUUUUAAACCUUUUGCCUUAUUUCAGCAUAAUAUUAAAAACUAAAAAGAAGUACAUUUCCCUUUGAUUUUAACUAAUUGUGAUUUUGUCGUAUUGGAUUUUAGUUAGUGCAAUUUUAUCUUAUCCAAAUAGUCACAUGAUAAGUAUUGAAAAUAAUUUUUCUUUUGUAUACAUUUGGUGUAUGUACAUAGCUUAUUAUUGGCAUUUUAUUUUCCUCACUUUUGUAUUUUAUUUUAAAACAAAAAGAAAAACACAAGAAAACAAGAAAAAAUAACUCCUCCAGUUUAUGCAUUUCAACGUUAGUUAAGUUAUUCUUUUCUUUCUUAUUUUAGUUGCUGUUUUGAUUAACCAAAGAAGAGGUAAAAGAAAAGAGAUUGAAAAAAAAGAAAGAAAAAAAUCAGAUGGUCCCCUCUUGCUCUUUCAUAAUUUUUUAUUAAUGUUUUCAGUGGGUCCAGUUCUUUAAAUUGGUUUUCUUCCCAUUCCUCCCUAAAUUACGUGAUCACCUUCCAAUUGAAGGAAUCUUUCCCAUAACAGAAUUUUAUUCUUGUUUAUCACAUUUAUGAUUUUGGCAUUUUGUGGCUCUUACCAAAAUUCACUCUUUAUCUACCUUGGAGGCCCACACAUUUUCUUUCUCACCCACCAUUCCAUUUUACCUUACAUUAUAUAACACACAUAGAGAUACAGAGGGGGCGAACAGAAACAGAAUAGAGAGAGAAAGAGGGUGACAGGAAACAAAUUAGAGAGGAGAACGAGAGAAGUCUGGGAGGAACGAAAAAACAGAGGAAAACGAGGGCCUAUAAAUAUCAUUUUCUUCUACAAAGUUAAUCCAUUCCUUAAACCACCAUUAAUAUCAUCUUUCUUCACCCUUGUUUCCUCCCACCAAAUCUCACCAUAGAUAUUGUCCCUAACACCAAAUAUCACCGACAACUAAUUCAAACACCCUUGCUUAACGUCAAACUAAAGGGGUCGGGUUAGCUAUAUUUUGUUUGAAGUUGCAGAUUGAGGUUUUCGGUUCGCCGUUUUGUUUAUUUUUUGUUGAUUUUUCGCUUCUCCGGUCAAGUUUUCGUCGCCGGAUUUUUCUUCCCUUCAUCAAUUGUAAAGCUAUUUUGGGAAGUUCUAUUAAUGGAAAAGGCUACUUAAAGUGUAGAUUCAACUCAAUUUCCAGGAGAAACAUAUCAUUAAAGGUCCAACUCUUUUCUCUUUUUUUCUUGCAUUUUGUUUUCUAGCUUUGCUGCUGUUUGAUUUACUUUACGAAAUGGUCUUGUGGCUUAUUUUAUAAUUUGUAUGUUAAUGUGUUCUUAACAGAAUAGUUGUUAUACUUUGAAUC
This 13249-nucleotide long non-coding RNA is filed under the name Nicotiana tabacum (common tobacco). Its description in RNAcentral is "long non-coding RNA (NTAB_LNC007472)". Lineage: Eukaryota; Viridiplantae; Streptophyta; Magnoliopsida; Solanales; Solanaceae. The record is from RNAcentral.